RNAcentral lists this ribosomal RNA (301 nucleotides) under uncultured bacterium. RNAcentral's name for it is "partial 16S ribosomal RNA". It matches the Rfam family "Bacterial small subunit ribosomal RNA", at positions 509 to 807 of the family's 1533-position model. The record is from RNAcentral.
CAGCAGCCGCGGGAAUACAGAGGGUGCGAGCGUUAAUCGGAUUUACUGGGCGUAAAGCGUGCGUAGGCGGCUUCUUAAGUCGGAUGUGAAAUCCCUGAGCUUAACUUAGGAAUUGCAUUCGAUACUGGGAAGCUAGAGUAUGGGAGAGGAUGGUAGAAUUCCAGGUGUAGCGGUGAAAUGCGUAGAGAUCUGUAGGAAUACCGAUGGCGAAGGCAGCCAUCUGGCCUAAUACUGACGCUGAGGUACGAAAGCAUGGGGAGCAAACAGGAUUAGAUACCCCUGUAGUCCCUGUCUCUUAUAC